RNAcentral lists this ribosomal RNA (433 nucleotides) under uncultured bacterium. RNAcentral's name for it is "partial 16S ribosomal RNA". It matches the Rfam family "Bacterial small subunit ribosomal RNA", at positions 29 to 507 of the family's 1533-position model. The record is from RNAcentral.
AGCGAACGCUGGCGGCAGGCCUAACACAUGCAAGUCGAACGAACUCUUCGGAGUUAGUGGCGGACGGGUGAGUAACACGUGGGAACGUGCCUUUAGGUUCGGAAUAACUCAGGGAAACUUGUGCUAAUACCGAAUGUGCCCUUCGGGGGAAAGAUUUAUCGCCUUUAGAGCGGCCCGCGUCUGAUUAGCUAGUUGGUGAGGUAAAGGAUCACCAAGGCGACGAUCAGUAGCUGGUCUGAGAGGAUGAUCAGCCACAUUGGGACUGAGACACGGCCCAAACUCCUACGGGAGGCAGCAGUGGGGAAUCUUGCGCAAUGGGCGAAAGCCUGACGCAGCCAUGCCGCGUGAAUGAUGAAGGUCUUAGGAUUGUAAAAUUCUUUCACCGGGGACGAUAAUGACGGUACCCGGAGAAGAAGCCCCGGCUAACUUCGUG